RNAcentral lists this ribosomal RNA (431 nucleotides) under Sphingomonas sp. EI149. Its description in RNAcentral is "bacterial SSU rRNA". It matches the Rfam family "Bacterial small subunit ribosomal RNA", at positions 8 to 486 of the family's 1533-position model. The record is from RNAcentral. Lineage: Bacteria; Pseudomonadati; Pseudomonadota; Alphaproteobacteria; Sphingomonadales; Sphingomonadaceae.
AGAGUUUGAUCCUGGCUCAGAAUGAACGCUGGCGGCAUGCCUAACACAUGCAAGUCGAACGAAGGCUUCGGCCUUAGUGGCGCACGGGUGCGUAACGCGUGGGAAUCUGCCCCUUGGUUCGGAAUAACAGUUGGAAACGACUGCUAAUACCGGAUGACGACGUAAGUCCAAAGAUUUAUCGCCGAGGGAUGAGCCCGCGUAGGAUUAGGUAGUUGGUGUGGUAAAGGCGCACCAAGCCGACGAUCCUUAGCUGGUCUGAGAGGAUGAUCAGCCACACUGGGACUGAGACACGGCCCAGACUCCUACGGGAGGCAGCAGUGGGGAAUAUUGGACAAUGGGCGAAAGCCUGAUCCAGCAAUGCCGCGUGAGUGAUGAAGGCCUUAGGGUUGUAAAGCUCUUUUACCCGGGAUGAUAAUGACAGACCGGGAGAA